CAGAAAAUAGUUUAAAAAAAACAUAAAUAUUGGGAAUUUAUAUUAAGAGUCUUUUCUUUUUUCUGA
Molecule: transfer RNA, 66 nt
Filed under: Rhynchocinetes durbanensis
Lineage: Eukaryota; Metazoa; Arthropoda; Malacostraca; Decapoda; Rhynchocinetidae
Description: tRNA-Pro
Source: RNAcentral